UACGGGGGAGCAAGCGUUGUUCGGAUUUACUGGGCGUAAAGGGCGCGUAGGCGGCCACCGCAAGUCGACUGUGAAAUCUCCGGGCUUAACCCGGAAAGGUCAGCCGAUACUGCGGGGCUAGAGUGCAGAAGGGGCAACUGGAAUUCUCGGUGUAGCGGUGAAAUGCGUAGGAUAUCGAGAGGAACACCUGCGGCGAAGGCGGGUUGCUGGGCUGACACGUGACGCUGAGGCGCGAAAGCUAGGGGAGCGAACGGG
RNAcentral lists this ribosomal RNA (255 nucleotides) under uncultured bacterium. RNAcentral's name for it is "partial 16S ribosomal RNA". It matches the Rfam family "Bacterial small subunit ribosomal RNA", at positions 524 to 776 of the family's 1533-position model. The record is from RNAcentral.